RNAcentral lists this transfer RNA (71 nucleotides) under Sphaerodactylus townsendi. Its description in RNAcentral is "tRNA-Ala". The stretch from base 7 to 63 matches the Rfam family "tRNA", at positions 8 to 63 of the family's 71-position model. From Rfam's summary of the family: Transfer RNA (tRNA) molecules are approximately 80 nucleotides in length. Lineage: Eukaryota; Metazoa; Chordata; Lepidosauria; Squamata; Sphaerodactylidae. The record is from RNAcentral.
GGACCAUGGCUCAGUGGUAGAGCAUCUGCUUGGCAUACAGAAGGCCCCAGGUUCAAUCUCUGGCAUCUCCA